GAGCAAAAAGAUCUCAGUCAGUGAUCCUCUAGAAGGAAGCGCUUUCUGUUGUUUGAAAGAAAAGAAAGUGCGUCAUUUUAGAGGAUUACAGUUUGAGAAAAGCAACAGUGAAGUUG
This 116-nucleotide microRNA precursor is filed under the name Chlorocebus sabaeus (green monkey). Its description in RNAcentral is "microRNA 519c (ENSCSAG00000021305.1)". The stretch from base 12 to 98 matches the Rfam family "mir-515 microRNA precursor family". The record is from RNAcentral. Lineage: Eukaryota; Metazoa; Chordata; Mammalia; Primates; Cercopithecidae.